AGCGAGAUGGCGCAGCUGGUAGCGCGCUGGGCUCAUAUCGACACACGUGUUGUGAAAGUCACCCAGAGGUCGUCGGAUCGAAACUGACUCUCGCUA
Molecule: non-coding RNA, 96 nt
Organism: Melampsora americana
Lineage: Eukaryota; Fungi; Basidiomycota; Pucciniomycetes; Pucciniales; Melampsoraceae
Source: the annotation of a GenBank genome assembly